GAUGAAGAACGUAGUGAAAUGCGAUAAGUAGUGUGAAUUGCAGAAUUCAGUGAAUCAUCGAAUCUUUGAACGCACAUUGCGCCCCCUGGUAUUCCGGGGGGCAUGCCUGUCCGAGCGUCAUUACAACCCUCAAGCUCAGCUUGGUAUUGGGCCCCGCCGACCCGGCGGGCCCUAAAGUCAGUGGCGGUGCCGUCCGGCUCCGAGCGUAGUAAUUCUUCUCGCUCUGGAGGUCCGGUCGUGUGCUCGCCAGCAACCCCCAAUUUUUUUCAGGUUGACCUCGGAUCAGGUAGGGAUACCCGCUGAACUUAAGCAUAUCAAUAAGCGGAGGA
Molecule: unclassified non-coding RNA, 329 nt
Filed under: soil metagenome
Description: partial contains 5.8S ribosomal RNA, internal transcribed spacer 2, and large subunit ribosomal RNA
Rfam family: 5.8S ribosomal RNA (bases 1-120)
Source: RNAcentral